GUGUUAGUCUGGAUCUGUAAAAGCAGCAAAGAGUCCUGUGCCACCGUAUAGACUAACAGACAUAUUGGAGCAUGAGCUUUCGUGGGUGAAUACCCACUUCGUCAUCUCUUUGCUGCUAGUACACAGGCCUUUGAUGUGCCGCUCUUUUGCUCAAGGAGCCAUUUGCAGGUUGAAGGAAAGCUCUACCAGCAGAACCAGCAUCUACCAAUUGAAAUACCAUAAUAAAAAAUGUUCAGCUCAUAAAUCACUGUCU
RNAcentral lists this long non-coding RNA (253 nucleotides) under Gopherus agassizii (Agassiz's desert tortoise). Its description in RNAcentral is "lncRNA (ENSGAGG00000013671.1)". Lineage: Eukaryota; Metazoa; Chordata; Testudines; Testudinidae. The record is from RNAcentral.